UCCAAUAGCGAGAAAAGAACAACAGGGAUUGCCUCAGUAACGGCGAGCGAAGCGGCAACAGCUCAAAUUUGAAAUCUGCCUUUCGGGGCCGAGUUGUAAUUUGCAGAGGAUGCUUUCGGUGCGGUGGCUUCUAAGUUCUCUGGAACGAGACGCCAUAGAGGGUGAGAGCCCCGUAUAGUCGUGCGCCUAGCCGGUGUAAAGCUCCUUCGACGAGUCGAGUAGUUUGGGAAUGCUGCUCUAAAUGGGAGGUAAAUUCCUUCUAAAGCUAAAUAUCUGCCGGAGACCGAUAGCGCACAAGUAGAGUGAUCGAAAGAUGAAAAGCACUUUGAAAAGAGAGUCAAACAGCACGUGAAAUUGUUGAAAGGGAAGCGCCUGUGACCAGACUUGCACCGGGGCGAUCUCCCGUUGUUUUCAGCGGUGCACUCGUCCCGGUUCAGGCCAGCAUCGGUUCCUGCGGGGGGAAAAAAGCAGGGGCAACGUAGCUCUUUGAGUGUUAUAGGCCGCUGCAGAAUACCCUCGGGGGGACCGAGGACUGCGCAUUGUCGAGGAUCGCUGGCGAUAAUGGUCACCGGCAACCCGUCUUGAA
Molecule: ribosomal RNA, 586 nt
Filed under: Coccodiella sp.
Lineage: Eukaryota; Fungi; Ascomycota; Sordariomycetes; Phyllachorales; Phyllachoraceae
Description: eukaryotic LSU rRNA
Rfam family: Eukaryotic large subunit ribosomal RNA
Source: RNAcentral